CACUGCACAGAGACGGGCAAGCACUCAGAAGCAUUUCGUUUGCCUUGAUCCUGGAGGCGCGCGGCCGUCUUCCGCUGCCGAGGAUUUGACGCGAACUCCUGGCAGAUCAGAAAUGUUCAGGCGAACGGCGGUUAUAUUUGUCCGUGGACCCAAUUAAGACUUCGUUGACGGGCAAAUAUGGAACGCUGCAACAAGGACUGGUGUGGAUAGCGUGCUGCGCUGGUCUCGCCAACUGAAAAGAAUUCUGGUGUGCUGUAAAUGCCGACUGCACAAUAUGUGACUGGCCCGCGGCCGCUUUGAAGGUAAUAUUGUGUUCUCAUUAUUCUAUUUAUUGUACCAUUUGUUUUGCAGUGACAUACGAGCCAACAAUGAAAACCUCGAUCCACCCUGUCUCCACAUAUUAUCUAGUUUGUGCGCUGUGGAGCUUGAAGCACUUCUCAGAAUUUCAGCACACUCGCAUUUAUUUCUUUCCCGACAGAAGAACAAUGCAAGUCUCACAUCUCGAUGAGGGUGUCGAUUUACCGUCUCAUAUCUCGACGGUAAAACGUCGCAUCUGCGUACGUGUUCAGGGCCAAGAGCACGAGAACUGGCCGAAAGAAGGGAGCCGAUCCAACAAGAAUGC
This is a long non-coding RNA of Rhipicephalus sanguineus (brown dog tick), 622 nucleotides long. RefSeq lists it as uncharacterized. Lineage: Eukaryota; Metazoa; Arthropoda; Arachnida; Ixodida; Ixodidae. The record is from RefSeq and is a predicted model, not a curated record. The transcript is spliced from 5 exons.